GACGAACGCUGGCGGCGUGCCUAAUACAUGCAAGUAGAACGCUGAAGCUUGGUGCUUGCACCGAGCGGAUGAGUUGCGAACGGGUGAGUAACGCGUAGGUAACCUGCCUGGUAGCGGGGGAUAACUAUUGGAAACGAUAGCUAAUACCGCAUAAGAGUAGAUGUUGCAUGACAUUUGCUUAAAAGGUGCAAUUGCAUCACUACCAGAUGGACCUGCGUUGUAUUAGCUAGUUGGUGAGGUAACGGCUCACCAAGGCAACGAUACAUAGCCGACCUGAGAGGGUGAUCGGCCACACUGGGACUGAGACACGGCCCAGACUCCUACGGGAGGCAGCAGUAGGGAAUCUUCGGCAAUGGACGGAAGUCUGACCGAGCAACGCCGCGUGAGUGAAGAAGGUUUUCGGAUCGUAAGGCUCUGUUGUAAGAGAAGAACGAGUGUGAGAGUGGAAAGUUCACACUGUGACGGUAUCUUACCAGAAAGGGACGGCUAACUACGUG
Molecule: ribosomal RNA, 497 nt
Filed under: uncultured bacterium
Lineage: Bacteria
Description: partial 16S ribosomal RNA
Rfam family: Bacterial small subunit ribosomal RNA
Source: RNAcentral